CAGAGCUUACAAGCAGUGCGUGAGCCCUUCCCUGAGUUUUGAGUCCUCUGUUUUCCUGAAGUGAUGAUAAAUGGCUUCCAAGAGCUGUUCAGAGGCUGAUGUGUCAGCCAAACCAGCUGCCAGCAAUGCCAGCAGAGAGCUGCACUGGUGCUAGCAGCAGACCUGAUCAAAUAACAGCUGCUCCUGAUUAUAAGGAUGUUCCCUCCACAAUUUGUGAUAAAAGACACUUUUGGAGGGCAUUUGCAUACUGAUGUUUAUUUUUAAGGAAGCAUCAUACAGGAGCUCAAAGCUGUGGAGAAGUUGUGAAUGGAAGUGAUGCAUAUAAAGGGCAGAGCUAAACUUACAUGUGUGGAAGAGUGAGAAAGCCAAUAUCUUACAACCAGGACACUUUAACAUGAGGAGGAAGAAUCUGGAUUAAUAUGCCACAUGUUUUGGUUCUGAAAAUCCAGCUCUUAAUGUGUGUGAGAAGAGCAAUACCUAGGAUUAAUGUGGAAAAGCAGAGCUUCCUUAUACCUCUUGUUAAUAGGUGAAGGCAAAAAUACUCUGGAUAUUUUCACAAACAGAUGGUGAAAUAGUCUGGUGGGAGAGCCUUCUCUGCCAAUUUUAAUCCAAAGUAAAUGAUAAAAGCUUCCUGACAGGAGUGUGCAUCUGGGGUCAAAGGAUUCUGUUUUUCCAUGUCUGCUGGUUUAUUUAGCAAACUUUUGUCAUCACUUCUGAAUUUUCUGGACGCAUGCCACUCUGUUCAGAGCAUUACAUCUCCUGAUACAACUUCAUCUCUCUGUGAUGUAAACAGAUGAAAUAUGCAUGUACCAUUCUCUCCUCAAGUAGCUAAGAGCAAGAGGGGCAACUCUUCAGAGGGCUCAUACUAGAAACCACAAUAACCUUUGCUUCUCAGCUGCCCUGAACAUGAUUUUAUUCUAUGAAACUUCAAAGCAUCCUUUACCUGAGUGUCCCUCUGAAGGAAUGAUGUGGUUGCACAGUAAAAUGACUAUACAUCUUCCCAACAUCUGGCAAAUGGCUGUAUUUUGUUACAAAAAUGUUGGGAUGGAGUCUGGUUCUCUCGACACAUGGUUACUUCCAGAAAUUGCAGGUGUCUAGGUAUCUAUUGAGUGUAAUGUCAGAGUAACCCGUGUAACCCAUGCUAGAUGUACAGCAUGUAACCCAGAGGGACAUAUCACAUAUCUUCUGCUAGGUACCUGAGCAUAGUCUGUGCUGACCACAACUGGGCUUAUGUCAUGUUAAGGCUUAUAUUAAGAUAAAAAUAUGGUGAGGAGAGACAGGAGUGAGAUGAGGAGAUCACAAAUGGGAAAGUAGGCAGUACUUGUUAAAUGCAACCUGUCAAAGGCAACCUCUAGUUUGUGUCUUCCCAUUAGCUCAGAGCGCACAGGGAGCUGGGACGUGGCUUCUGUCUUAUUAGUCUGUGCUUUGAUGUGCAGAAAUUUUAUGUAGAAAUCCUUAGAGCUGAAGUAGCUAACAGGAAAAAUAAAGCUUGAAUGGUGAAAUACCAGUCAAUCCA
Anas platyrhynchos (mallard) is the source of this 1516-nucleotide long non-coding RNA. RefSeq lists it as uncharacterized. The record is from RefSeq and is a predicted model, not a curated record. Lineage: Eukaryota; Metazoa; Chordata; Aves; Anseriformes; Anatidae.